This 6737-nucleotide long non-coding RNA is filed under the name Malus domestica (apple). RNAcentral describes it as "long non-coding RNA (MDOM_LNC007787)". Lineage: Eukaryota; Viridiplantae; Streptophyta; Magnoliopsida; Rosales; Rosaceae. The record is from RNAcentral.
GCCAAAAAUAAUUCUAACCCCUCACUGUAAAACCUGUAUACUUUUCCCAGAAAAUAAUAUAAUAACAUAAUACUUUUCAUAAAUCUCGAAUCAUCAAUUUUUCUUUAAAACCCGAAAGUAUGCCAUGUUUUAAUUUCGAAAACAAAAUAAAUGAUGCAUCAAUGUAACAGGUGAAAUAGUGAAUUAACCGGAGACCCUGCAGUUGGUCCUGUAUGGUUAAUUCUAUAGCUCAACAUCCAAUCCAACCGGAGUCACCUCGGUGACCUGUACGGCACUACACUGCAGAUAAGUCGGAACUACCUGAAGUAGUCUGUACGACAUGAAUGGUGUAAUGAUACGCUCUAGUGCUUCUCAUCAAUCAUCUGUGCACAUAAUCUAAGGUCACCCACUAGUCGGAAUCACAUCUAGUAAUCUAUACGACUAGCAUGUCGGAACCCUCACUUGGUCUGUACGACAUCCACCUACUUGGAUCCAAGACGAACGUGCGGUGUUGUGAAUAAUAUAAGCACUAACACCAUGAUUGCAGGUUAUGAGCUAUCCACAAUAUACACAUCAACAAUGCACAUGAAUAAUAUAAAACUCACCUGAUACUUACCUGUGCGUCCACAGCACCAAUUCACAUAUAUAUAUGCAUCAUAUAUCAAUUCAUGCUUUUCAUAUACUUCUAUGCAUGGCAUUUCAAAUCAUACUUUUCAUAUAAUUCUAUCCAUGGCAUUUUAAAUCAUGCUUUCAUUUAAAUUCAAUUUCUGGGAAGACUCAAUAGUAUAUAUGUAUACGGAAAACAAAACUGCCCACUCACAGAUAAGUAGCCGGUUCGUAACCCCCUCGCCUAUUUUGGUUACGUUCUUCGUCCGUAAAAUUUUCACCUAUACAAAAAUAAUUAUAAAACAUCAUUUAAACGCACAUACACAAACAUUCAUCAAUAACUUUCUUAUACGUUGCUCAAUUUGGGUAUGUGAAUAUACCACGGUGAUCUACACGACGUCACGGACGUCGACAUAUUUUUUAGAAAUAUUUUUUGAACCCUACACGCGCCCCCCACGCGCCGUGGGUGGCACUGACCUACGCGCCCCCACGCGCGUCUUCUUCCUCAGCUCGCCGGACUGGUUUCGCCGGUUUCUGGGCAGUUUUUCAAAUUGCCAUAACUUCUUCAUUUCUUCACCAUUUUCAACGUUCUUUAUAUCAAAAUGAAGAUAUUGAAGAGACGAACAAAUCUAUACCUGUCUCGACCCUUAACUCGCCGGGAAUUCACCGGAAAAAGCCUCGAAAGCCAUCGGACUCGCCGGAAACUGGGUAAGAUUCAAAUAAGUAUAACUUCUUUAAUACUCAACGAAAUUGGGUGAAACAAAAACAAAAGUUGUAGUUAUCGAAUAGAUGAAGAGAAUGGUACCUCGCACGACGUCUAACUCUCCGUGGUUUGGCCGGAAAACGCCUCGAAAGUUCCGACCAAACAUUGAACUUUCCGAUCUCUGUGUUUUUACUUCCAAAAACUUCCAACGAAGCAUUCCGAGCUUCCUAAGAACCUCCUUAAGCUCCCUAUGAGCUUAAAAACCCCUAAAAAUCAACCAAUACAAAGUUGAUGAAUAGUGUCAAACUCGGAGGUAAGUUGUUCGACGUGAAAACGUUGAAGUUCUUACCUGAAAUGGGUAUGGAUGAAUUUGUAUCGACGAGAUGAAGACGAUGGUGGUCUUUGUUUCUUCGAUCUGUGAAGAUUUGAAGAUCCUUGUUGUUUUGCCGUGAGUGUAGAAAGAGAGAGAGAGUGUGAGUGUUUGAGGGAAUCACGGGAAGGAAUAAUGAAUAAUGAGUGUGUCUGAGUGUAUAGUCCAUAAGUCAUUUUCAAACAAACACACAGACAAAACGUCCACUCUUAAAAACUAGGAUAAUUAAACAAACUUCACACUUAUAAAAACGUUAAUACGGGACGGGCUGUUACAACCUACCCUCCUUAUAGAAAUUUCGUCCCCGAAAUUUACACAACCAAAAUACAACACUAAUAAUCAUAAAACAAUCUCGAAUACAUCUCUCUCAUCUGAUCAUCUGUUUCCCAAGUAGCCUCCUCCACUGAGUGGUUCCUCCUCAAAACCUUCACUAUCCGAACGGUCUUGUUCCUAAGAACCUUAUCCUUCCAAUCGAUGAUAGUCAUUGGAACCUCGUCACUUAAAUUAAACAUUGUCCUCAAUGUUUCAAACAUAAACUCACACAAAACAAGCAAACAAACAAACUACGAAUAAACAUGACAAGUAUGGUAAAGUAAAAAUCAGACAGAGUAGAGUUUAAGAACGUAAAUCUGGUUAUGGAGAUAGAUGAUCUUGUUGACUUUCCACAGCUUUGACCUCGAACUGGAUUGGAAUUCUGAGCAGAGAAUAGGAGAGUUCCUUGGUUUCAAUUCAGACUCCUUCUGCUGGGUUAAUUUGAUUAUGCAGUCUGCAUUCUUCUCUGCUUGUUUCUUCUGCACGGCAGACAGGCACGAGGUAGAGGUGAUGGUCUGUUUCUUUUCAUUUGCUUUCUUUCUCCAUGUCCCUAGCUGAGGAUGAAUCAGCACGUUGUCUCCACAUGCUUCGAGGUAUCAUUUUCACUUCCCUUAUCUGUUCCCCAGGCAGAUGUGGUAGACGAAGAGGAAGCAUAAGAUGUUGAAGAUGAGUACUCGAGAGCAAGGCUAGGUAAGCAAUCAGGAAGGGGUUCUAGGCAGUCGGUUCCCGAUCGAAAGAUUGAUACCAAGUGCUGGCUGAUUGCUCUCUUUCUCCCUAUCUUGCAGGCAGCAUGAAGGAUAAAGAGAAGAAAAAUGAGAAGAGAUGAUAUGGGAUACUUUUUCUUUUGAAGAAGUAACUUUCCACAGGCUUAUUCUUGAACUGAGCUGGAGGGUUUUCUGGUUUCCUCCAGAGUAUAAGGCCGACUGAAGAAUUUGAGGGUCAAAACAAGUCCAUCAAAUCUAGAGUACGUUCGACCCUGCUGAUAUGGGAUACUUUUGCUUUUGACAGAGUAAUGGAUGUAUCGGCACGUGUGCUGUUACGCUUGCCUUGCAGGUAAGAACCAGGUCAAAGGAAAAGACAGGGAAAAAAAGCAUGAUAUGGGAUACUCUUGCUUUUAACCCUGUUGAUAUGAAAUACUCUUACUUUUGAUGGGUUGUUUGCAGAGGUAUCCCAAGGAAUGAUGAACACUGAGUGACUCGAGAGAAUUUGAUGCGAAUGCAUUCUCGAAGAUGAAGAAGGUUUGAGUGAGGCUGUCUUGCUGUGAAGGUUGACAUUUAUAGGCAUUUCUUCAUAACUGGAAGAGGCACUGUUCUUUUACUCAUGUCGGUACCCGUUGGAAAAUUGAACAGGAAAAGUCACGUACAUUCUACUUCACAAGAAAUCUUCGACAGAUUGCCCGUAAUUUCCGCAAGGCUGAGUGUGCAUGUGAUAGAUGUUGACACGUCGAGAUAAAGCAUAUGCCUCUUCGAUAUCUGGAAUCAAACUGCCCGUGAUUUUCGCAAAGCUGAGUGUGCAUGUGACAGAUGCUGACACGUCUGGAAAAGCAGAUGCCUCUCCGAUUUCUGAGCUUGCAACUUCGAGUUCUGAGCUUCCCAGCUUUUGAGAAAGCAAGCGCCUCUUUAAUUUCUGAGAUUAGCCUUCGUGGUCUUCGAGCAGCCCAGCUUUUGAGAAAGCAAACCUCUUCGAUUUCUGAGAUCGACCCUCGUGGUUUCUGAGCAGCCCAACUUUUGAGAAAGCAAACGCCUCUUCGAUUUUUUUUAUUAUUAUUAUUAUUAUUAUUAUUAUUAUUUUUAAAAAAAAAUUGGCCUCUUUGAUCUCUGAAAUCCCGUCGAGCUGAUUUAAAUAGAGGCACGCAGUUCAUUUCAAAACACACUUGAAUUUCUGCCUAUAGAAACUCUCUUCGUGCACUUCUAAAUUCUUGAUUUGUCCGACCUCUUCUCUUUUCAACACUUUUGAAAAUGUCUGGCCCAUCCGACCGUCGUUUUGACUUGAACUUUGUUGAAGAGGUAGCCCCGCCUUCUCCAGACAACAUAUGGCGCCCAUCCUUUGUCUCCCCUACUGGUCCUCUUACCGUUGGGGAUUCCGUGAUGAAGAAUGAUAUGACCGCUGCGGUGGUGGCCAGGAACCUUCUCACUCCCAAAGAUAACAGACUACUUUCCAAACGGUCUGAUGAGUUAGCUGUUAAGGAUUCUCUGGCUCUCAGUGUUCAGUGUGCAAGUUCUGUGUCUAAUAUGGCCCAACGCCUAUUUGCUCGAACCCGCCAGGUUGAAUCAUUGGCGGCUGAAGUGAUGAGUCUCAAACAGGAGAUUAGAGGGCUCAAGCAGGAGAAUAAACAGUUGCACCGGCUCGCACAUAGCUAUGCUACAAACAUAAAGAGGAAAAUUGACCAGAUACAAGAAUCUGAUGGUCAGAUUUUACUUGAUCAUCAGAGGUUUGUGGGUUUGUUCCAACAACAUUUGCCUUCAUCUUCUGGGGCUGUACCGCAUACUGAAGCUCGAAAUGAUCAACCUCCAAUACCUCCUCCUACUGGGGCUCCGCCGACUGCUGAGGCUCCGCCGACUACUGAGGCUCCGCCGACUACUGAGACUUCUCCUAAGUAGCCUUUGUGAAGGCUCUCUCUCUUGUAUUUUUGUGUUUAAUGUUCAUUUUAUUUUUCUGCUUAAUGUUCCCUUUUUAAUGAAUUUUAAUAUAAAAAAAAAAAUUACCUUGUUUACUUGCUUAACGAAUCCACGAAUAAGUUAUUAAUAUUACGGUAUGCAGCCCGCAAUACUGAUAAAUCAUCGUUGUCUCGAUAAGUAAGCAACAAUUCCCGAGGGUACAAUAUUAUCAUCUUGCUCUUCAAUAGAAAUACCUAUAUAUAUGCCUCGAUCGUGCUCCAACAUUACUCUCUUUGGCAACAUCGUCAAUAAUAAGAAAUUUCUACAUCAAGAUCAAUUAAAACUCUAGCAAAGUAACCAGGAAUGUUUAACGUGCCCAUGAUCAAGCCCGAAAGAUUCUGAGUAUCUUGUAGCUCUAUGUCCCAUUUGUCCACGUGUAAAGCAUACUCUGUUUUCCCACCUACACUCUCCAAAGUGCAUGCUAUUGUUCUUACAGCACAAAGGUACAUUUCCUCUACUAAAGUCACCUUGCCUCUGAGAUCUGGGAUUACCAAUACAUCUAUCACUUCGCCUCUGAUCAAUGGCAUUAAAACCUUCGUCAAAAGAACUAAAAUUAGCUUCACUUCUUUUUAAAGCUCUGAAUCUUUCAAGGUUCUCGAGAUGACUGACCUUUAUCCUUAUCAUCCUUCCUCUGUCGGAUUAUCAACAACAUCCGGAUGGUAAUAAGGCAAGUCCGUAAACUUUCUAUAAUACUUAUUCGCUGUCAUCUUUCCUUGUCUCAAAUUGUAAACUCUUGCUUAUUAUCAUCCAUAUAUGCCGAAGGAAUAGACAAUUCUUUAAACAACUUUCAAUCGGCUGUUUCCUCCAGUGACAUCAUUUUUCCAUAAAGUGAUUCAGUUUCAACUUAUAAACAAUCUCAAAGGUAGUCAUUUGGGAAGGACGGAUAACAGACUGAAUCACAUUAAUAGUAGUUUCACAUAACUAAGUUAAAUCGGGGAAACUAAGCUCAUCAUUUCAUAAGGUGAUUCAAAUUCGACUCAUAACCCGUCUUAAAAUGUCCCUUUUUAUAAUAGGACUGAAUCACCAUAAUAAUAGUUUCUCCUAAAUCGCUAAAUCAGGGAGACUAAAUUCCUCUAACUACGUGGUUUGCUACGAGGCGGUGUAGUUCUGACAGAAUUCACUAGAAACUUCUCAAGAUGUCCAAGAUUGCAACCAUGCUCUGAUACCAACUGACACACCCCGUCCCGAAAGAGGGCAUGCUGGCCGUCACAUGAGAGUGACGUAACCAUUUACACAGUUCGGAAGCUUUUAAAAAUACAAUUAUUAAAAUGGAAACCCUCGAGGGUGAGUCCUACUUUUGUGAAUUCUGUCAGAAUACCGUUGGAUUCCUCGUGGCCACCAAAACUCUGCUAUCAAGAACCUGGAGGGGCAAAAAACAAAAUUGAGUGGGUCAGUAAAACCAAGCUUUUCAAAAAACAUUUCGCCAAAAAUAAUUCUAACCCCUCACUGUAAAACCUGUAUACUUUUCCCAGAAAAUAAUAUAAUAACAUAAUACUUUUCAUAAAUCUCGAAUCAUCAAUUUUUCUUUAAAACCCGAAAGUAUGCCAUGUUUUAAUUUCGAAAACAAAAUAAAUGAUGCAUCAAUGUAACAGGUGAAAUAGUGAAUUAACCGGAAACCCUGCAGUUGGUCCUGUAUGGUUAAUUCUAUAGCUCAACAUCCAAUCCAACCGGAGUCACCUCGGUGACCUGUACGGCACUACACUGCAGAUAAGUCGGAACUACCUGAAGUAGUCUGUACGACAUGAAUGGUGUAAUGAUACGCUCUAGUGCUUCUCAUCAAUCAUCUGUGCACAUAAUCUAAGGUCACCCACUAGUCGGAAUCACAUCUAGUAAUCUAUACGACUAGCAUGUCGGAACCCUCACUUGGUCUGUACGACAUCCACCUACUUGGAUCCAAGACGAACGUGCGGUGUGGUGAAUAAUAUAAGCACUAAUACCAUGAUUGCAGGUUAUGAGCUAUCCACAAUAUACACAUCAACAAUGCACAUGAAUAAUAUAAAACUCACCUGAUACUUACCUGUGCGUCCACAGCACCAAUUCACAUAUAUAUAUGCAUCAUAUAUCAAUUCAUGCUUUUCAUAUACUUCUAUGCAUGGCAUUUCAAAUCAUA